RNAcentral lists this ribosomal RNA (234 nucleotides) under uncultured bacterium. RNAcentral describes it as "partial 16S ribosomal RNA". It matches the Rfam family "Bacterial small subunit ribosomal RNA", at positions 15 to 240 of the family's 1533-position model. The record is from RNAcentral.
GAUCAUGGCUCAGGAUGAACGCUAGCUACAGGCUUAACACAUGCAAGUCGAGGGGCAGCAUGGUCUUAGCUUGCUAAGGCUGAUGGCGACCGGCGCACGGGUGAGUAACACGUAUCCAACCUUCCCGUUACUCUGGAAUAGCCUUUCGAAAGAAAGAUUAAUACCGGAUAGUAUCGUGAGAUUGCAUGAUUACCCGACUAAAGAUUCAUCGGUAACGGAUGGGGAUGCGUUCCA